GUGGAUUAGAUACCCGGGUAGUCCACGCCCUAAACGAUGUCAACUGGUUGUCGGGCCUUCAUUGGCUUGGUAACGUAGCUAACGCGUGAAGUUGACCGCCUGGGGAGUACGGUCGCAAGAUUAAAACUCAAAGGAAUUGACGGGGACCCGCACAAGCGGUGGAUGAUGUGGAUUAAUUCGAUGCAACGCGAAAAACCUUACCUACCCUUGACAUGUACGGAAGUCCGCUGAGAGGUGGAUGUGCCCGAAAGGGAGCCGUAACACAGGUGCUGCAUGGCCGUCGUCAGCU
RNAcentral lists this ribosomal RNA (289 nucleotides) under uncultured bacterium. RNAcentral's name for it is "partial 16S ribosomal RNA". It matches the Rfam family "Bacterial small subunit ribosomal RNA", at positions 773 to 1060 of the family's 1533-position model. The record is from RNAcentral.